CGUAAUAACAGAAACUAACCAGGAUUCCCUUAGUAACGGCGAGUGAACUGGGAUACCAAUAUAUUUAUGCGUCUCUGGCGCAUAUUUUUAGCCCGUCGAUACUAUCCUAGCGUAUUACCGGUUUCGGCCGGUAGCCCAAUACGCGGGAAUUGUAGCAUCGUAAUAAAAUAUACACCAUGCCUGCGUCGCAAACGUAUAUACACGUAUACUCACACACACAUACUCUCGUACGCGUACACACCCCUUGCAAACACACAGCGCUCCCGCGUUGGAAAGCAAGUCUAUAUCCUCUUUGGAUAUGCCAUAGAGUGUGACAGCCACGUUUGAAACACCCUUACGUACCGUACACACACAUACGUAAAAAUACGCGCUGCUUCGCAUACGCAUACCGUAUAUAACCUGAGUCGAGUUAUUU
This 415-nucleotide ribosomal RNA is filed under the name Ammonia sp. 130. Its description in RNAcentral is "partial 28S ribosomal RNA". Lineage: Eukaryota; Foraminifera; Rotaliida; Rotaliidae. The record is from RNAcentral.